GGAGAGCUGUCCGAGAGGUCGAAGGAGCACGAUUGGAAAUCGUGUAGGCUGCUACAGCGGUCUCGAGGGUUCGAAUCCCUCGCUCUCCGCCA
Molecule: transfer RNA, 92 nt
Filed under: Terribacillus saccharophilus
Lineage: Bacteria; Bacillati; Bacillota; Bacilli; Caryophanales; Bacillaceae
Also listed under: 5 other names
Description: tRNA-Ser
Rfam family: tRNA
About the family: Transfer RNA (tRNA) molecules are approximately 80 nucleotides in length. Their secondary structure includes four short double-helical elements and three loops (D, anti-codon, and T loops).
Source: RNAcentral